AGAGUUUGAUCCUGGCUCAGAACGUACGCUGGCGGCACGCCUAACACAUGCAAGUCGAACGAAGUAGCAAUACUUAGUGGCAGACGGGUGAGUAACAUGUAGGUAUCUGCCCUUUGGCCUGGAAUAACACGAGGAAACUUGUGCUAAUACCGGAUAAGUCUUUACGGAGAAAGCUUUAUGCACCAUUGGAUGAGCCUGCACUUGAUUAGUUUGUUGGUAGGGUAAUGGCCUACCAAGACUGUGAUCAAUAGCUGAUUUGAGAGGAUGAUCAGCCACAUUGGGACUGAGACACGGCCCAAACUCCUACGGGAGGCAGCAGUGGGGAAUCUUGCACAAUGGAGGAAACUCUGAUGCAGCGAUGCCGCGUGAGUGAAGAAGGCCUUUGGGUUGUAAAGCUCUUUCGUCGGGGAAGAAAAUGACUGUACCCGAAUAAGAAGGUCCGGCUAACUUCGUGCCAGCAGCCGCGGUAAUACGAAGGGACCUAGCGUAGUUCGGAAUUACUGGGCUUAAAGAGUUCGUAGGUGGUUGAAAAAGUUGGUGGUGAAAUCCCAGAGCUUAACUCUGGAACUGCCAUCAAAACUUUUCAGCUAGAGUAUGAUAGAGGAAAGCAGAAUUUCUAGUGUAGAGGUGAAAUUCGUAGAUAUUAGAAAGAAUACCAAUUGCGAAGGCAGCUUUCUGGAUCAUUACUGACACUGAGGAACGAAAGCAUGGGUAGCGAAGAGGAUUAGAUACCCUCGUAGUCCAUGCCGUAAACGAUGUGUGUUAGACGUUGGAAAUUUAUUUUCAGUGUCGCAGGGAAACCGAUAAACACACCGCCUGGGGAGUACGACCGCAAGGUUAAAACUCAAAUGAAUUGACGGGGACCCGCACAAGUAGUGGAGCAUGUGGUUUAAUUCGAAGAUACGCGCAGAACCUUACCAACACUUGACAUGUUCGUCGCGACUCUAAGAGAUUAGAGUUUUCGGUUCGGCCGGACGAAACACAGGUGCUGCAUGGCUGUCGUCAGCUCGUGUCGUGAGAUGUUGGGUUAAGUCCCGCAACGAGCGCAACCCUCACUUUUAGUUGCCAUCAUUAAGUUGGGCACUCUGAAAGAACUGCCAGUGAUAAGCUGGAGGAAGGUGGGGAUGACGUCAAGUCCUCAUGGCCCUUACGUGUUGGGCUACACACGUGCUACAAUGGCAUCUACAACAGGAAGCAAAACGGCAACGUUAAGCAAAUCCCGAAAAGAUGCCUCAGUUCGGAUUGCACUCUGCAACUCGAGUGCAUGAAGCUGGAAUUACUAGUAAUCGUGGAUCAGCGUGCCACGGUGAAUGCGUUCCCGGGUCUUGUACACACCGCCCGUCACACCAUGGGAGUUGGUUCUACCUUAAGGCAAGGUUUUAAACCCUUGACCACGGUAUAGUCAGCGACUGGGGUGAAGUCGUAACAAGGUAACC
RNAcentral lists this ribosomal RNA (1436 nucleotides) under uncultured bacterium. RNAcentral's name for it is "bacterial SSU rRNA". It matches the Rfam family "Bacterial small subunit ribosomal RNA". The record is from RNAcentral.